RNAcentral lists this unclassified non-coding RNA (683 nucleotides) under Hevea brasiliensis (rubber tree). Lineage: Eukaryota; Viridiplantae; Streptophyta; Magnoliopsida; Malpighiales; Euphorbiaceae. The record is from RNAcentral.
GUUUUUCAUGAAAUAUCAUUAGAGUUAUUGCUUUCCAUUUCUUUUUCUUAUUUUUAUUUUUAUUUUUAUUUCAAUACCCAUUUGUUAUUAUGUUGUUUGGAUAUAAUUUUGUAGAGUUUGUGUUGACACUUGAUAAUAUAAGUGACUAAACUUUAAGCUAGAGAUUUUGAUUUAAUUUUCUUUGUUUUGCUAUUAGUUAUUAUAAGAUGUUUAAUUCUUUUAGAUAUUUUGGCUAUAUAUUUGAAUGAUUUUAGAUUUGUAAUUUAUUGUUGGGAAACAAGUUUUUUAACAAUAAAAUUAUAUUUUGUUUUAAAUUGAUCUUCGUAUUAGGCAAAGCUUCAAGUUAAAUAGCUUCAAAGUGAUAAAAAAAUUUGAGAAAAAUUGAAGUUGAAUGUUAAAUGGAGUUUCCAGUAAAUUCUACACCCAUGCCAUGAAAAUUGAAAAAAUCACACUCAAACCAUGGGAGGAAGAAUUAAGUGAUGGAAAAAACAAUUAAUCCCACAGCUUGCUUGUGGAAUGAAAAAAUGCCCACAAUCAAACUGUGGGAUAAUGGAAAGGUGCACAAGCAGGUUAUGGGAUGCCUUUUUUUUUAACUUUUCUUCAUCAAUCAGCUCUUGAAAACUCACCAAGUGAGAGGAAAAGUUCAAUUUUGAGUUAGUUAAAGCUUUUUUUUUUUUUUUUUU